Molecule: ribosomal RNA, 344 nt
Filed under: uncultured Verrucomicrobiota bacterium
Lineage: Bacteria; Pseudomonadati; Verrucomicrobiota
Description: bacterial SSU rRNA
Rfam family: Bacterial small subunit ribosomal RNA
Source: RNAcentral
AACGAACGCUGGCGGCGUGGAUAAGACAUGCAAGUCGAACGCUGGCUUCAGGGUAGCAAUAUUCUGAAGUUGGAGUGGCGCAAGGGUGCGUAACACGUGGGUAAUUUGCCGUGAAGUUGGGGAUAACUUGCUGAAAGGCGAGCUAAUACCGAAUGUGGCUGUUUGGAGGCAUCUCCGGAUAGCUGAAGUUGGGGACCGCAAGGCCUGACGCUUCAUGAUAAGCCCGCGGCCUAUCAGCUAGUUGGUGAGGUAACGGCCCACCAAGGCUAAGACGGGUAGCUGGUCUGAGAGGACGACCAGCCACACUGGAACUGAGACACGGUCCAGACACCUACGGGUGGCAG